AUGGUUGGUAAUAUCUGUAAACCCCAAUCUAUUACCAUCCUCUCGUGGUUCCAGACAACAUGGAGGGGGGACAUCUCAGUGCGGCUCUUCCCCGAUAGCAACGGCGGCUGCGGCGUGCACGUACAGGCAGACCGCGCCCCGCGGCUGGGGCGAGCUCGUGCGCAGGUCGCCGGCGGGGCAUGCGGUGUACUGCCCGUGGGGGACGCCGUAUUUUUGGUACACCCCGUCGACCUCCUCGUUACAAUUGGCAGCCUCCUCCACGGUGUCGAAGCUGCCGAGCCACCUCUCGGCUUCCGCACUGGAGAUCCUCGCCCCGAACUUGCCACUAGCUGUUGGCACACGCCGCGGAACUUGGUCCGGGCUUCGACGUGGCCGGACGGUGCGACCGAGACGACACCACCAUCAUCAGCCGCGGGCUGGCUAAAGUCCGAUGACGGCGUCGUCUCAGUCGCACCGUCUAGCCAUGUCGACGCCCGGACCAAGUUAUGCGGCGUGUGCCGGCAAACUAGCGGCAAGUUUGGGGCGAGGAUCUCCAGGGCGAAAGCCGAGAGGUGGCUCGGCACCUUCGCACCGCGGAGGAGGCUCAUCGAUGCAGUCAUGGCAUAUGUCGCCGGGAUGGGAAAUCUUCUUGCCACACUGGAUGGCCUUGAAUCGGGCAGACGCGACGACAGAGGGCUUGAAUGGGGCGACAGAAAAGCGAUUGAUUCAUCUGAUUUGGAGGAGGGCAACACGACAGUGGAGAGGAGAUGGUGGCGCCGGUUGUCACCCGCGCCUCCCUCCCAUGCUUCCACUACCAGCCAAGAGGUGGGAAACCACCAUCAUGGUGGUUUUCCACCUCCUCGCCGGCCUCGUUCUCGUGGAGGCGGACGCAGCGGAGAUGCCAUCUCAUGGAGUGUUGCGUCGUCCACACACUGCCGCAGUCCAGCUCGGACGAGGAGGACGAUGGCCGCAGGCAUGGCAGAAGGCACCCAUGAGAUUCCUGGAGGCCUAAGAGCCGCAGGAAGUGGGACUUGGUCGAAGAUGGAUGGGCGAUGUUUCCUUCAAGAAAAGCUCACUGAUUGCUCCGAGGCGGCGGGGCAUCUGGGACCAAUAGAGAAUGGAGAUCCUCGCCCCAAACUUGCCGCUAGUUUGCCUUGCCUCCCUGCGACGGCUCCGCCACUCAGGCCGCCUGGAUGCGCCAUUCUGCCCACGGUCGCGUCUUUGCCACCCCCCGUCCCCGUGCAGAGGGGCAGCGUGCGGCCGUUCGUUUGGUCAAGAAGACGAGGUUGCACGUAUAAGGUGGGCAAUUAUGGGUUGUCUGGCAAGGAGACGGGCAUGUAUCAACGGGCGCGGCGUGCCGCCGCACGGACUCCGCUAUAUGUGAUGCAUAGCGGAAAGAGGUCGUCCAGCAGUCACACGCUGGAGGCCGGGAUGCGCGUCCCGCUGCACGGUUUCUUCUCUGACGUUCUCGCCCACUUCGGCAUCACUCCUACCCAGCUCGCACCGGAUGGGUGGCGCAUCAUGGCGGGCUUCCUCGCCCUCUGCCACUCCGACGGCAUGCCGCCGGACAGAACGCGGCAGGAGGAGGCUCUCCCGCGCGGGGACGGUGCGGCGUGGGCAGGAUAUGGUUGCUGGAGUGGUCGCCGGCAGUGGGGCUGCCCGACGGCGGCGAGAGGCGGCGGAGUUCAGCCUUUCUUGGCCCAUAUCACUGUGCGCUGGGAGAUAAGAAGGCACGGCACUCUGGUAGAGGAGCCGGUUCCAGCUCCUAGCAGCCAGGCGGGGGCGGCGACCACCACGGCGAGUCGGCGACCGGCGGCUACGCAGGUGCGUUCCUCCCCCCUUCCCCUCUCUUCCCCACCCCUUCUCCCGUCGCUCCCUAGCCUUCUUCCCCAUCUGUGCUCACAUGGAUCGGUCACCCUGUGCCACGCCCCUCUAGUCGGCGGUUGCUCAGGACCGGCACUCCCCGCCGUCCUACCAGCACGCGGUGCUCCGCCCUCCUUAGCCACGCGCCACCGCCUCACUUUGCUACGCCCUCCGUUCUCCACGAUGGCCAUAGGAGUUGCUGCUCCUUUUCUGCACAAACUACAGAUCCACCAUGGGUCCAUGGCCAUACGAAGGGCAAAGGGACGGCCUUCCCAAGCACGUAGUGCUGUAGCUCAAACCCCGGCACUGCUGGCGCCUACAUCCGCCGUUGACCCGGUCUUCGCACGCCAUGGAAGAAGUGGAUUGGAAGUAGAAAAAGGAGGAGGAGGAUGUGGACUGCAGUGGAGAAGGAUGGGAUCGAGGAGGCAGGGGGCUUGGCUUGCAUCGCUCGCAGGCGGCAGCCGCCGCGCCGCUGCUGUGUACAGAGAAGCGGGGGACGCAAGAUUAGGGUUGAGAGGCUUCGGUAGAGCUGUUUAUACCAUCUGCGAGCGUACCUGGACUAUGGGCUGGGCCGGAAAUUCAAAAUGGGCCGAAACCACAACUGCUCCACCAUGGGUCCAUGAUUACGGAAGUUUUGUCGAUCUGCUGGCUGAUUCUAGAUAA
This 2505-nucleotide ribosomal RNA is filed under the name Triticum aestivum (bread wheat). RNAcentral's name for it is "partial small subunit ribosomal RNA". The record is from RNAcentral. Lineage: Eukaryota; Viridiplantae; Streptophyta; Magnoliopsida; Poales; Poaceae.